CAGUAGCCACGGGAAUACGAAGGGUGCAAGCGUUACUCGGAAUUACUGGGCGUAAAGCGUGCGUAGGCGGUUUGUUAAGUCUGCUGUGAAAUCCCCGGGCUCAACCUGGGAAUGGCAGUGGAUACUGGCAAGCUAGAGUGUGUCAGAGGAUGGUGGAAUUCCCGGUGUAGCGGUGAAAUGCGUAGAGAUCGGGAGGAACAUCAGUGGCGAAGGCGGCCAUCUGGGACAACACUGACGCUGAGGCACGAAAGCGUGGGGAGCAAACAGGAUUAGAUACCCCAGUAGUCCCUGUCUCUUAUAC
RNAcentral lists this ribosomal RNA (301 nucleotides) under uncultured bacterium. RNAcentral's name for it is "partial 16S ribosomal RNA". It matches the Rfam family "Bacterial small subunit ribosomal RNA", at positions 509 to 807 of the family's 1533-position model. The record is from RNAcentral.